UGAGGAAAGGGAAGCCAUCAUCUUUGUCUUAGCCAACAUAAAAUAUAAGCACUUCAACACUUAGAGUUGAAGUAAAUGACUGAGGUAUCAAAUCUUUGCUAGUACAAUCCAAGACAAAUUUUGGAAAGUGAAAUUCAGUUAUCAGAAAUAUUCACAAUAUUAUUGGAUGCGUAAGGAACUACAUUUAAACAAAAAUCUACUAA
This 203-nucleotide unclassified non-coding RNA is filed under the name Hevea brasiliensis (rubber tree). The record is from RNAcentral. Lineage: Eukaryota; Viridiplantae; Streptophyta; Magnoliopsida; Malpighiales; Euphorbiaceae.